RNAcentral lists this long non-coding RNA (210 nucleotides) under Elaeis guineensis (African oil palm). RNAcentral describes it as "long non-coding RNA (EGUI_LNC040475)". Lineage: Eukaryota; Viridiplantae; Streptophyta; Magnoliopsida; Arecales; Arecaceae. The record is from RNAcentral.
GUUACGGUCAAUACCAUAAUGUUGAUAAUAUCCUUAGGCAACCAGAUGAGCUUUUUAGAUCUCCACUUUCUCAUCUGUGCUACUCUAAUCUUAUUGAAGAUCUACUUAUACUCUAUAGGCUUUACCCUUCGAGUGAAUCAGUGAAUGUCCAUACACCGUUGACCUUCAUAGACUCAAUUUCAGACUCUAUAGCUCCAAGCUAUUAAUCGG